UCGGCGAGUGGCGAACGGGUGAGUAUAGCAUCGGAACGUGCCAAGUAGUGGGGGAUAACCAAACGAAAGUUUGGCUAAUACCGCGUAAGCUCUAAGGAGGAAAGUAGGGGACCUAAAUAAGGCCUUACGCUAUUUGAUCGGCCGAUGUCGGAUUAGCUAGUUGGUGGGGUAAUGGCUCACCAAGGCAAUGAUCCGUAGCGGGUCUGAGAGGACGAUCCGCCACACUGGGACUGAGACACGGCCCAGACUCC
RNAcentral lists this ribosomal RNA (251 nucleotides) under uncultured bacterium. Its description in RNAcentral is "partial 16S ribosomal RNA". It matches the Rfam family "Bacterial small subunit ribosomal RNA", at positions 88 to 339 of the family's 1533-position model. The record is from RNAcentral.